This 3048-nucleotide long non-coding RNA is filed under the name Canis lupus familiaris (dog). RNAcentral's name for it is "lncRNA (ENSCAFG00000053331.1)". Lineage: Eukaryota; Metazoa; Chordata; Mammalia; Carnivora; Canidae. The record is from RNAcentral.
CUCAUAACAAUUCACAGCCAUUUCUGACAUUCUCAAAAGCAAAUGGCAAGGAGUGGAAGAAGGCAGCCCCUCUGAAAGCUGGACCUCAAAAGUCCCCCCAUGUAACAAUUUGGGAGACUCAUUCUCCUGUUUCUUCCCCUCCAGACCAAACUCAAACCCAAAAGCUCUCACUUGAAGGCCAGCAUCUCCCCCAAAUGCUUUCUGUCCAACACUGUUUUGUUUUGUUUGUGAAUCUUAAAUUAUUAUUAUUUCUUCCUGUCGCUUAUACCCAAGGUGGAGCAGAGGAGAGGAGGGAAGAGGAGAGGGGGAAUCGCCUCUCCAAUCACUGAGUGGAGAAGCCGCAAGGGGAGAGGGGGAGGUCACAUUGUCCUCACUCUGUGGGGCUAGGCCCCUGGUCUCCCCAGCCCCAGGCUCCCCCAGCCCCUGAAAUGCUAAGAUGAGGCCCAGGGCAAUGGGACCUCCCCCAACCCCAAUAUAUUACAUCAUCACUUUUUAAAUAAAUACAGGGACAGGUCCUGCUACCCCCUCCCUGGGACGCCCACCCUCACUACUGAGGGCACCUGGGCAGCUGUGCAAAUGGGCAUGAGGGUGCAUGGGAGGAAGGGAGAGCACCGGGCUCCUUAGCCUGCCCCUGCUAAGGAGGGGGAGGGGCCGCCAGGCCAGGGAGGGGGAUGGUGCAAGGCACUAUUCCAGGAGUUGUUGAUUGGCUUAAAUACCUACCACCAAAUAAGCUGAAAAACGGUUGGCUAAGAAUAACUGAACAGGUGUGUCUACAGCGGGACUCCUAUGCCUUUAAUGUACAUCUCGAAUCUCCAAGAGGAGGACAGACCAUAAGGUGUUUGUAAGGCUUACUUGGCCACAGAUGUUUUUUUCCAUGGAGGAAUCAGUCUUUGGAAUGAUUUGGGAAGUGCAGUCUGGUCAUCCCUCCCAAACUCCUGGCACCUAAAACCACAAUGGGUUUUACAUGGAAAGCAAGAGUUCGAUUCCAUGUGUGUCAAUGUCAAUAGACCACCUGCCCCUGAACCACCAGAACCCAGGACGCUCUACGGUGACUGAUGGGCUUGGCCAGCACUCGUCCUCGUUUGUCUUACCCUUUGUAAUAGCCACCUGCCCUGAUGUGGGUCAACCCUGCCCCUGCCAGAGAUCAGGCACUCGCCAUAGCAGCUGGUUCACCAGCCUCUAGUUCUGUCUUUAUAGGCCAUUCAUCUCCCCCUUCUCCUCCUCCAUUUAUUCAUUCUAUUUACUCAGCAAAUAUUUAUUGAUUGCUUCCAGUAUGAUAGGCCCUAGGUGGAGCACCAAGUACACAAGAAAAGUAAGAAUUGGUACCUCUCGUCUAUAGACGUAAGGAAAUAAAUAAUUUCAAUGCUAUUGUCAUCAUCACUACUGCUAGCAGCAGCUUCUUUACCAUUAUUUAAAAGUAUGAAUUAAGUUCUGAUUACACAAGAGACACUUCAACGAGAGGCUGGGCCUGACCCUCGGGAGCCAGAAAUCUCAGGCAGACAUGCUAAUGCAGACACAUGUCUCGAAGUCAGUGAGUUGGCUCACAUCAAUCAGCGGUUAGAGGCAAGUGCAUUUAGGGAAGAAAGACAGGGGUCAGUAUCUAAUGGUGAAGAGAGCGGGGAAAGAGGUCACAAGCACAGCCCAACCAUCAUUCCUUUGCUCCACCUGACCCUGGAGGGGCUUCAAAACACAGGAGUUGUAAAAAGGAAGGGGUGCUGGCUGGAUGUGAUGACUUAUACAAAGUAUUUUAUGCAAAAAUGCCCCCUUUUUGUCUUAUAUUUCAAUAUUUACAAUAUUUCUUAAAACCAAGAGAAAGGCAGAGGUCGGUUGCCUCUGACCACAGCUUCCAAGCAGCCAUGCCCCUCAGCCGACACACAGAAGUUUCUGAGGUAUCCACACAUGGCCGGGUGGAAGGCACUCCUUUGGCGAAUAAGCUCUAAACGUCAGGAAAGCCUCUUGAGACCUAACUGGAACCUGUUCUUAACGCAGCUCCUACUGGAGGCUUACACUGGGUAGCCCACAGUGUGGACGGCCAUCGUGGCCAUGGGGUCAUGACUUCUGAGGGCUGAAUGAUGCCUCACUGGAGCAGUCUGUUCCAGCUGAUUCUAUUCUAAAGAUAUGAUAUGUUUCUUAUAUGGAAACAAGUAGCCCAGACCCCCAAUUUAUGUUGCCACCCAGGUCUUCCCUGAAACCCCACCCUCACCCCCAAAGCUGUGUCUUCAGCCAGUUAUCGCACUUCUAGCCUGAGUGGCCUCAGGAACACCUCACAUGACUCCUAAGGUUCUCGAAAGCUUUCUUCCUUCCAGGCAAAGGCCAGGCUCCAGCGGGCCCACAGUGAGAGGAGUCCCAGAAGCCCCAGCCUAUGGGCCUGACCAUGGACAGCUCUGGUUUGCACAAGCAUCACAACCCCAAAGUGGGUGGGAGCCCCUGCCUCAAGGGGGGACUGGUGCCCAAGGGGCUGCAGCUCACAAGAAGGGCCCAGCACAGUGCUGACUGUGCCUGCCCUCCAGACUCUUCUGAGACUGUGUUCCCUCAGGCUUCUCUAGGUAAUGAGCCACCUGUUGUGCUUCCACAGGACUCUCUAGCUGGCUGGGUGAUGCAUUCUUUGUACAUUUGUCAUUUUGUUCCUUCCCUACAUCUCCCCCCUUUUUCCUUGCUGCUCUGGGAUUUCCCCCCUCAACAAAGUGUUCCCACAUCAGCUUUUGCCUCAGGCUCUGUUUUCCAGGGAAGCCAGGCCAAAACCAGGGGUGAGGGUCAGACAAACCAAAAGUGCAAGGCUCUGGGCCCUUUCAUAGCUUCGAGCAGAACAGUCCUUCUUGCAUCUGUCCUGUGUGUUAGAAUCUCAUGUAAAAUUUCAUCUGAAUAAAGAACUCCACCACAAACAUAUUAAAAUAUGUUUACAGGGCCACCUGGGUGGCUCAACGGUUGAGCGCCUGCCUUGGGCACAGGACGUGAUCCUGGAUGGGAUCGAGUCCCACAUCGGGCUUCCUGCAUGGAGCCUGCUUCUCCCUCUGCCUGGGUCUGUGCCUCUCUCUCCCUCUCUCUCUC